GACGAACCGUGCGAACGUUGUUCGGAUUCACUGGGCAUAAAGGGCGCGUAGGCGGACGGUCAAGUCGGGGGUGAAAUCUUUCAGCUUAACUGGAAAAGUGCCUCCGAUACUGAUCGUCUCGAGGGAGGUAGGGGCAUGUGGAACUUCCGGUGGAGCGGUGAAAUGCGUAGAGAUCGGGAGGAACACCAGUGGCGAAGGCGGCUACCUGGACCAGCACUGACACUGAGGCACGAAAGCGUGGGGGAGCAAACAGG
This 254-nucleotide ribosomal RNA is filed under the name uncultured bacterium. Its description in RNAcentral is "partial 16S ribosomal RNA". It matches the Rfam family "Bacterial small subunit ribosomal RNA", at positions 524 to 776 of the family's 1533-position model. The record is from RNAcentral.